AUGGGGCUUAUGAUCAAACGAGAGUGUGAAAACCAUCCUGGUGGCAGAACGCAUUAUCAGUUGUUGAGCUCCAUCCACAUGGUGAUAGGACGACCAUGGACCUCCCAGGCAGAAAAUCAUGUGUCAGCACCUAUCCUGGGAGUACAAAGCAGCAAAGAUAAUGAAAAGAUUGAUAUUUGUCCAUUUAUUUUUACAUUUUUCCUUUCAUUGUUUAAGAGUCAAAUUGUGAUAAUUUUCUUAAGAAACCAAGUUAAAAAAAAAGAAAUAAAAAUUGAUAAUUUUUAA
This 285-nucleotide long non-coding RNA is filed under the name Mus musculus (house mouse). RNAcentral describes it as "long non-coding RNA chr10:58703994-58704279". The record is from RNAcentral. Lineage: Eukaryota; Metazoa; Chordata; Mammalia; Rodentia; Muridae.